UUACGGUCAAAUCACGCUGAAAACACCGGUUCUCGUUCGAUCACCGAAGUUAAGCAUCGUAGAGCCAGGUCAGUACUAGAUGGGGGACCGCUUGGGAACACCUGGUACUGUAAG
RNAcentral lists this ribosomal RNA (114 nucleotides) under Acanthosepion pharaonis. Lineage: Eukaryota; Metazoa; Mollusca; Cephalopoda; Sepiida; Sepiidae. The record is from RNAcentral.